Molecule: ribosomal RNA, 339 nt
Filed under: Triticum aestivum (bread wheat)
Lineage: Eukaryota; Viridiplantae; Streptophyta; Magnoliopsida; Poales; Poaceae
Description: partial small subunit ribosomal RNA
Source: RNAcentral
AUGUGCUUGAGCAGGCAUUUUGACCUAGGAUGCCGGGUGCAACAUCUCGGGGAGAACCAAGUCGUCGUAAUGGCAUCUCUAGCCAGAACAGUUCAGUUGGUGCACGAUGACGUGGUGGCUCGACAAGUGUGGGCAACAGCAGUAGGGUCCCCCUUGAAGUGGAGCAUGAUGACUACAAUUCUGGGGUUGAUGAAGAGAAGCUAUAUUCUGAUGUUAUUCGGAAUUUACGACGGGCACCUCGGGCUGAUAACCAAGAUGAGGCUCACAAUGCAGUCCGUGUGGAUGAUGACGUGGUGGGUGAGGACGAAGACCUUGCAGCUGUUGAAUGGGACCCUUUGA